RNAcentral lists this unclassified non-coding RNA (584 nucleotides) under Botryotrichum murorum. RNAcentral's name for it is "sequence contains 18S rRNA gene, ITS1, 5.8S rRNA gene, ITS2, 28S rRNA gene". The stretch from base 215 to 368 matches the Rfam family "5.8S ribosomal RNA". The record is from RNAcentral. Lineage: Eukaryota; Fungi; Ascomycota; Sordariomycetes; Sordariales; Chaetomiaceae.
UCGUAACAAGGUCUCCGUUGGUGAACCAGCGGAGGGAUCAUUACAGAGUUGCAAAACUCCCAAACCAUUGUGAACGUUACCUUCAAACCGUUGCUUCGGCGGGCGGCCCGGGUCCGCCCGGUGCCCCCUGGCCCCCUCGCGGGGCGCCCGCCGGAGGAAACCCAACUCUUGAUACAUUAUGGCCUCUCUGAGUCUUCUGUACUGAAUAAGUCAAAACUUUCAACAACGGAUCUCUUGGUUCUGGCAUCGAUGAAGAACGCAGCGAAAUGCGAUAAGUAAUGUGAAUUGCAGAAUUCAGUGAAUCAUCGAAUCUUUGAACGCACAUUGCGCCCGCCAGUAUUCUGGCGGGCAUGCCUGUUCGAGCGUCAUUUCAACCAUCAAGCCCCAGGCUUGUGUUGGGGACCUGCGGCUGCCGCAGGCCCUGAAAACCAGUGGCGGGCUCGCUGUCACACCGGGCGUAGUAGAUUUUAUCUCGCUCAGGGCGUGCUGCGGGUUCCGGCCGUUAAAAAGCCUUUUUUACCCAAGGUUGACCUCGGAUCAGGUAGGAAGACCCGCUGAACUUAAGCAUAUCAAUAAGCGGAGGA